Molecule: ribosomal RNA, 420 nt
Filed under: uncultured bacterium
Lineage: Bacteria
Description: bacterial SSU rRNA
Rfam family: Bacterial small subunit ribosomal RNA
Source: RNAcentral
AACGAACGCUGGCGGCAUGCCUAACACAUGCAAGUCGAACGAGACCUUCGGGUUCUAGUGGCGCACGGGUGCGUAACGCGUGGGAACCUGCCUUUAGGUUCGGAAUAACUCAGAGAAAUUUGAGCUAAUACCGGAUAAUGUCUUCGGGACCAAAGAUUUAUCGCCUUUAGAUGGGCCCGCGUAAGAUUAGCUAGUUGGUGGGGUAAAGGCCUACCAAGGCGACGAUCUUUAGCUGGUCUGAGAGGAUGAUCAGCCACACUGGGACUGAGACACGGCCCAGACUCCUACGGGAGGCAGCAGUGGGGAAUAUUGGACAAUGGGCGAAAGCCUGAUCCAGCAAUGCCGCGUGAGUGAUGAAGGCCUUAGGGGUUGUAAAGCUCUUUUUACCCGAGAUGAUAAUGACAGUAUCGGGAGAAUAAG